Nicotiana tabacum (common tobacco) is the source of this 1625-nucleotide long non-coding RNA. RefSeq lists it as uncharacterized. Lineage: Eukaryota; Viridiplantae; Streptophyta; Magnoliopsida; Solanales; Solanaceae. The record is from RefSeq and is a predicted model, not a curated record.
UUCUUCUGAUUUUCGCUCCUCUUUUUCCCGUUUCCCCUUUCUCUCCAUCGUCUCUUUCAUUCUCUGCCAUGGCAGAGCUUUCUCUUGGAAUUUUCCUCCAAUUUUGGCUAAGUCUUGACCUUCACUCUUUCCAUAACAGAGCAUAUCUUACCAUUUGGGUAAAAGAUCUGAAGCAAAUCCCUGAAAGCUUAGGAUUUUGACCAAGGAAUCUCAUGUUUUCUUUUGAUUUCUGCUGAGCUCUUCAAAAAUGAGGGGCUUUUUCUUUUGCUCAGCCGAGGUAGCGAGUCUGAGGUCGAAGUGCGAUAGUUGAUCGACGACGCUCCUAGUUCACUGCCCGCAAAAAGGUCAGUGAUCUCCCUUUAUCUGCUCCAAGUAAUAUUUGAGUUCUUUAGUAAAAAUAAGUGUGAGUUCUCUUUUCUGAUCUUUGAUUAGAAACUAGGAAAUAAAGAUUUAUCAUGCUUCCAUUCAAUGUUUCAUGUUGUUUGUGAACAAGUGAACGCGGACUAAGAUUUCUUUAUAAUAUUAUUCUGGAUUAAGUUAUUAGACUAUGUGAAGCAUUGUAUGCUGUAGAAAUCUUAUUUUUUUCUAAAAUAUAAGUUGUUAACCAGAAGUCAUGACUUAUGGAUUUGUUGCCAUAGAAAGUAUGGUCAUUAUCCAUUAGCAUAGUAAUACUUCAGUUUGAGACAAUCUGUUGAUGACAAAGAACCUGAAUUCUUUAAAAAAAAAAUCUAUUUGUGCUCCUUCACUGUAAUGAAAUCAAAUUCAUAAACAAAAUAGGAACCUACUAGUAUACCUUAAGAAAUAUUAUUGUUUCUUCAUUAUAACAUGGUUCACAUGACAUCCCUAAUAACUAGUUAAAGUUAAGUGUGAGUGCAGGGCUAUGUGCUAAACACCCCCUUCAGGAAUUGAUAUCAAUUCUGCCUGCACUUAAGGAUCAUAUGAUUGUUAAAUAAUAAGUUAGUAAUCAUGAUAGCAUGUAUAUAUGAUAUCUUAAGUAUUAAUGGUAAAAGUGAAACCUGUUAGCAUGUGUUUGUUGAACAAAGUACGGUUUUUGCUGCUGUCAUCUCCUAUGUACCUUUAAGAGUCAAGUUUAACUGUUGUUAAUGGCCUUAAGGAAGUGUAAAUCCCACUUUGUUUGUUAGGUUGAUCUAAAAGGAAAAACUUCAAAAAGGCACUUAGAGUGCUGUUUUAAAGUAGAAUUGCUUGUAUGUAGUAUACUACUGUUUCGUUCUAGUUCGUGGAAUAUUUCAGAUUUAAGGAGAUAAUUGUCAUUCUUGACUUGUAUGUUUCAUCGUCACAUGUAUUAAGAAUUAAGUUUUCUUCUCUAAUUUUCUUUUCUUUGCAUAUGCACUUGGAGCAAAACCGGAGUCUCACUCGAGACUCAACAGUGCCCGAGCAUGGAGUCAUCGCAUCCCAUAUCGUCUUCCAUAGAGUGCACCAGAUAGCAAGAAAACAAGCGAAACGCUCGGGGCGUCUAGCCGUCUAUGGCGUCCUUCUUUUAUUUCUUUUCCCAUUUCAUUGUAUCUUACUUUUUAUUUUUGUGUUUUGAGGUUUAUCCCUAUUUUGAGAUUUUUGUUGGAGCUUAUUAUUAACAUAGAAUUAAAUAGCUAUGCCUUAUUAAAUCA